CUGUCCCGCAUGGGACGGGGAAAAAAGCUCCGGCGGUGAAGGAUGAGCCCGCGGCCUAUCAGCUUGUUGCUGGGGUAAUGGCCUACCAAGGAGACGACGGGUAGCCCGGCCUGAGAGGGCGACCGGCCACACUGGGACUGAGACACGGCCCAGACUCCUACGGGAGGCAGCAGUGGGGAAUAUUGCACAAUGGCGAAAGCCUGAUGCAGCGACGCCGCGUGAGGGAUGACGGCCUUCGGGUUGUAAACCUCUUUCAGCAGGGAAGAAGCGAGAGUGACGGUACCUGCAGAAGAAGCGCCGGCUAACUACGUGCCAGCAGCCGCGGUAAUACGUAGGGCGCAAGCGUUGUCCGGAAUUAUUGGGCGUAAAGAGCUCGCAGGCGGCUUGUCACGUCGGAUGUGAAAGCCCGGGGCUUAACCCCGGGUCUGCAUUCGAUACGGGCUAGCUAGAGUGUGGUAGGGGAGAUCGGAAUUCCUGGUGUAGCGGUGGU
RNAcentral lists this ribosomal RNA (490 nucleotides) under Streptomyces griseus. Its description in RNAcentral is "bacterial SSU rRNA". It matches the Rfam family "Bacterial small subunit ribosomal RNA", at positions 181 to 685 of the family's 1533-position model. Lineage: Bacteria; Bacillati; Actinomycetota; Actinomycetes; Kitasatosporales; Streptomycetaceae. The record is from RNAcentral.